AGAGUUUGAUCCUGGCUCAGGAUGAACGCUAGCGACAGGCCUAACACAUGCAAGUCGAGGGGUAGAAGAAGCUUGCUUUUUUGAGACCGGCGCACGGGUGAGUAACGCGUAUGCAACCUACCUUAUACUGGGGGAUAGCCCAAAGAAAUUUGGAUUAAUACCGCAUAACAUAUUUGAAUCGCAUGGUUUGAAUAUUAAAACUCCGGUGGUAUAAGAUGGGCAUGCGUAGCAUUAGUUUGUUGGUGAGGUAACGGCUCACCAAGACUAUGAUGCUUAGGGGGUCUGAGAGGAUAGUCCCCCACACUGGUACUGAGACACGGACCAGACUCCUACGGGAGGCAGCAGUGAGGAAUAUUGGUCAAUGGGCGAAAGCCUGAACCAGCCAUGUCGCGUGCAGGAUGACGGCCCUAUGGGUUGUAAACUGCUUUUUUUACAGGAAUAAUUGCAGAUACGUGUGUUCGUUUGAAUGUACUGUAUGAAUAAGGAUCGGCUAACUCCGUGCCAGCAGCCGCGGUAACACGGAGGAUUUGAGCGUUAUCCGGAUUUAUUGGGUUUAAAGGGUCCGUAGGCGGUUCUUUAAGUCAGUGGUGAAAUCCCAGAGCUCAACUCUGGAACUGCCAUUGAAACUGAAGAACUUGAAUAUGGUUGAGGUAGGCGGAAUACGUUAUGUAGCGGUGAAAUGCAUAGAUAUAACGUAGAACACCAAUUGCGAAGGCAGCUUACUAAACCAUUAUUGACGCUGAUGGACGAAAGCGUGGGGAGCGAACAGGAUUAGAUACCCUGGUAGUCCACGCCGUAAACGAUGAUUACUCGUUGUGCACAAUACACCGUGCGUGACUGAGCGAAAGCAUUAAGUAAUCCACCUGGGGAGUACGUUCGCAAGAAUGAAACUCAAAGGAAUUGACGGGGGCCCGCACAAGCGGAGGAACACGUGGUUAAAUUCGAUGAUACGCGAGGAACCUUACCUGGACUUAAAUGUAGAUUGACCGGUUUAGAAAUAGAUCUUUCCUUCGGGACAAUUUACAAGGUGCUGCAUGGCUGUCGUCAGCUCGUGCCGUGAGGUGUCGGGUUAAGUCCCAUAACGAGCGCAACCCCUAUCGUUAGUUGCUAGCAGGUAAUGCUGAGGACUCUAGCGAGACUACCACCGUAAGGUGAGAGGAAGGUGGGGAUGACGUCAAAUCAGCACGGCCCUUACGUCCAGGGCUACACACGUGUUACAAUGGCCAGUACAAAGGGCAGCUACCAGGUGACUGGAUGCUAAUCUCAAAAGCUGGUCUCAGUUCGGAUCGGAGUCUGCAACUCGACUCCGUGAAGUUGGAUUCGCUAGUAAUCGUAUAUCAGCAAUGAUACGGUGAAUACGUUCCCGGGCCUUGUACACACCGCCCGUCAAGCCAUGGAAGCCGAGGAUGCCUUAAGUACGUUACCGCAAGGAGCGUCCUAGGGUAAAAUUGGUAACUGGGGCUAAGUCGUAACAAGGUA
Molecule: ribosomal RNA, 1479 nt
Filed under: metagenome
Description: bacterial SSU rRNA
Rfam family: Bacterial small subunit ribosomal RNA
Source: RNAcentral